This 497-nucleotide ribosomal RNA is filed under the name uncultured bacterium. Its description in RNAcentral is "partial 16S ribosomal RNA". It matches the Rfam family "Bacterial small subunit ribosomal RNA", at positions 28 to 507 of the family's 1533-position model. The record is from RNAcentral.
GAUGAACGCUGGCGGCGUGCCUAAUACAUGCAAGUCGAGCGAACAGACGAGGAGCUUGCUCCUCUGACGUUAGCGGCGGACGGAUGAGUAACACGUGGAUAACCUACCUAUAAGACUGGGAUAACUUCGGGAAACCGGAGCUAAUACCGGAUAACAUGUUGAACCGCAUGGUUCAACAGUGAAAGACGGUUUUGCUGUCACUUAUAGAUGGAUCCGCGCCGCAUUAGCUAGUUGGUAAGGUAACGGCUUACCAAGGCAACGAUGCGUAGCCGACCUGAGAGGGUGAUCGGCCACACUGGAACUGAGACACGGUCCAGACUCCUACGGGAGGCAGCAGUAGGGAAUCUUCCGCAAUGGGCGAAAGCCUGACGGAGCAACGCCGCGUGAGUGAAGAAGGUCUUCGGAUCGUAAAACUCUGUUAUUAGGGAAGAACAAAUGUGUAAGUAACUAUGCACGUCUUGACGGUACCUAAUCAGAAAGCCACGGCUAACUACGUG